Molecule: long non-coding RNA, 912 nt
Organism: Felis catus (domestic cat)
Lineage: Eukaryota; Metazoa; Chordata; Mammalia; Carnivora; Felidae
Exons: 4
Source: RefSeq, a predicted model, not a curated record
CUUUUCCUGCACUUUUCAGAACGACGUGCCAAGUGCCUUUUAUGGUAUCCCCGGCUCUUUCAGCCUCACGGGAAUAGCAGAGGCGUAAAGGAAACAGUCUCACGAGCCAUUCCUUUGAGGGGCUUUCUUCUUGGCCUGGCUCUUUUGCACUUGAGAAACGGAAGUCAUCACAAACCAGGACUGGGGAGAGGUACUCACCUUUCAGAUGGAAACGGGGCUCCAGGGUGCGCUAGGAGUCCCAAAAGAUGUGAUUGAAAGCGUUCUCCGUUCUGUCUCCCUGCAACCCAGAGGAGGCCGCGUUCCCCCACCUUCAGGCUCCUAGAAGCACAGCCUCCUGUGUUAAUCCCUCUCAGGUUUGCAGAGCGUUCCGGAAAGACCCGUGUGCCUGCCAAAGAACAGUAUCACCUGUGAACCUCUCCUUGUGCGCUGGCAGCUGGGGCUCAGGCUGAGGAAAGCCGAGGAAACGUCUACCUGCUUCAGACAAGCCUGGUUAACAGAUGACACUCCGGCUGUGCUGGGGUUUUCAAGAGGCUGUUAGGGAAUUGCAUUACAGAGUAAUACACGCACCCGCACAAAGAAUCGCCCGCGACAGAUGGGGACAUAGAAGUUAUUUAAAAGUGGCCCUGCAGAUUCGCUGGGAUGCCCAGUGUUACGGGCAGAUACAUCUUAAAACUGUCCACCUCCUCUCUUUUCCUGCUCCAGAAGAAGGGUAGAAGAGACGCACAGAGAAGAAGGAGAAGACCAACAUGAAAAUGGAGUCAGAGAUUGGAGAGAUGCGGCCACAAGUCAAGGGAAACGUGGGGGCUCCCAGAAGCCGGGAGAGAAAAGGAAGGAUUCUCCCCUGGCACCCACACCUUGAUUUCCCACCUCUAGGCUCCAGAAUUGUGAGAGAAUAAAUGUCUGUUGUUUUAA